GGGAAAGAGCCAGGGAGGAAGAGGUUGAAGUCAGCUGUAAUCCCCAACGUCACAUACCCACGAACAUUUCUGUUCAGUGAGGUCCCACCUGCUGCUCCAGGAUAUAACAGAAUGGAGGCAGAUUGAUAGCAAAUAAAACAAAACGAGACCGAGAGGUGAAAGAGGACCAAAAGAGACCCCUACAAAAUACGAAAGACUUGAUUGUGGACACCUAGGAGCAAUGUGAGUAGCUUGAUGGAUCCGGAGUCAACCAACACCAUCAGGGAGAGUUUGGAAAUAAGCAGAGAUGCAACCUUUCAUAUGUGGAGCAGAGCGUCAUAUGGAGAGAAGAAUACAGCUUCAAGGGGCCAAGAAUUUCAGUUGCAUAAUCUAAAUUUGUCCAAAAAACUGAACAAAUUUGUGGAAGACCCAAAGCUCCAGAUAAGAACCCCACCUGGUUCUAGGGAUGGAACUCUCCUUGCAACUACUCCUCUAGCAGAGGGCACUAAGACUGAUGGAAGAAACACAUCUGAUCCCAAGUGCAACUCAAAGACAAGUCUGACUGAUUACAAAGUUCUACUUUUCCCAGCAUGGUAGCCAACAACCUAAGUGGAUUUAAGGAGGCAUUGGAUGACAUGAGAAGGUGGAAAACAAAGGUUCCGGAACUCACCAGUUCACAGCUUCUCUGGCAAUAGUCUCACCUCCCUCUUGGACCUUUCUCCAGCUCAUGAGUGAAGCCAAGUCUUCAGUGGUUCCCAGGAAAACAGUGGAGGUAUGGUGUUGAACUCUGCUAGCAAUGCUGGAAGUCAAGCAGAACAAUACACACCUGUCAGAGAGGAUAUGACCUUUAGGGUGUGUGACCCAGGAGGAAACCUGGCAAGAUACAGAGCCCCAGAAACUACUGCCUGAAGCAAGACAAUGGACUUUCAAAAGAAAAUGUCAGCAUUAAUAGACAGCCACACUAGAAGAGAAAGAUAGUACCAUUUCAAGGUUAUUUGAAGUUCAUCUCUACCUUUUAAGUGGAGUCCCAGGACUGGAAAUUCAUAAAUAUUUGCUCUGGGAGCAAGUGACCACAUCCAUUCCAAGAUGAAGGAUAAGGGAUUGGACCCCAAAUCUUGUGCAUGAUAAUUGUUUCAGACCUGGCCUUAAGAAGACAUUUCAGCUUUAAUAAAAUGGAGAACACAGAAGAAAUGGACAGAUUUCUAAAU
Molecule: long non-coding RNA, 1187 nt
Organism: Fukomys damarensis (Damara mole-rat)
Lineage: Eukaryota; Metazoa; Chordata; Mammalia; Rodentia; Bathyergidae
Exons: 9
Source: RefSeq, a predicted model, not a curated record